UUUAUUUUUUUUUAAUUAGAAUAUUUGGGAGUAAUGGAUAAGAAGAAAGUUGUGGCACCGCUUGUUUGUCAUGGGCAUUCUCGUCCUGUUGUUGAUCUGUUUUAUAGUCCAAUCACUCCUGAUGGAUUUUUCCUCAUCAGUGCCAGCAAGGGUAUUUUUUUACAUUGAUUGUUGUUAUGCCACUUUUUUUUUUUUUUUGGUAGUUUUGAUGGUUUAUUUAACUAUUGUGUGAAUUUGAUACAGCUGCGUUGUAUUUUUAUAGUCGAAAUGUUUUUUUGACUGUUUUGAAUGAGCUAGUUUAUUCUGAAAUCUGAAUUAUGAGCUAGUAUACAGUGUGUAAAGUCUGUGUCUGGUGUGCAUUACUUCUUGAAAAUGUCCUUAGAUUGUUUAUGGUAUUUAGUAUUUACAUUCUUAGAACCACCAGGCCGCCCCAUUUAUAGACAUUUGAUCUUGCCGUAUAAGUAUGGACUAGUCAUAAGUAUAUGCAAGUUAUUAUUGGCGUGAGUCUGAGUUUAUUUUGGAGCGAAUAGAGUAGCAUCACGUCUUCAAUUGUUGGCUCUGCCGUUGAACUUUAGAAUUUUUAUGGAUUUGCUUAGAGACAGUGUUAUCAAAAACUAAAAGCACAAAAAAAUGCUCUAGGUCUGUUGGCGAUUAGAAAAGGAAGCAAAAAAAAAGAAGCUCUAGGUCUGUUGGCAAUUGAUGCGCAAAUAAAGCGUGGGCUUUAAAGAGAAAAGGAAGUGCAAAAAAAAGCUCUAGGUCAGUUGGCGAUUUAAGCGCAAAUGAAGCGCGGGCUUUAAAGAGAAAAGGAAGCGCAAAGAAAAGCUCUAGGUCUGUUGGUCAUUUACGUGCAAAUAAAGUGUGGGCUUUAAAGAGAAAAGGAAGCGCAAAAAAAAAGCUCUAGGUCUGUUGGCCAUUUACGUGCAAAUAAAGCGUGGGUUUUAAAGAGAAAAGGAAGCGCAAAAAAAAAGCUCUAGGUCUGUUGGCGAUUUAAGCGCUUUAAAGAGAAAAGGCGCGAAUGGAGUUAAAGAUUAGAGAUACAGACAUAUAUGUUUAAUCCAGGAUUUAAUAACCACAAAUAUCAAUAUCAAAUAUAUGGACAAAGAGAUUGAUUUUUUUUUUCCAGAAAAAGUAAAAUAUUAAUUGUUUAGUGCUGCCUCUUAAUGAAACGCUCAUUCGCUAGGAAACGUUUGUUUUAGAUCCUUAAUGACAACACUGAAGCGGUGAAGCGCACAUUAAGUGAGGCAAAGCUCUAGACGUGUUUUGACUGAAGCUUUCAACAUGCUUUGAGCGAAGCGCUCAACGUGUUUUGAGCCUCACUUCAGGGCUUUUGGGCUUAAUUGUGAGAAUCCCGAGAAGCACCAAUCUAGGAAAGCCAAAGAAGAUUAUUCAUCAAUGUGAAGGGAUUUCUAUCCUCACAAAACUGAGGAAGACAAAUUGAAAGUGUUCCUGUAUUUUGUUUAGUCUAAGGUGUUGAUACGAAAUGCAUACUUCAUUUACGUGCAGUUUUUAUCAAACCUUGUUAGAGUAAACCUAGUUCUAUUAUCUGCAUUCAAUUCUAUCAAAAUAUAUUACCAAGUUCAAUGCAUUUUAUGGUAGGUGGACACUUAUGUUAUCGUCUUAUAUUUUGUAUGCCUAGUCUUUCCGCCAAAUACUCUAAUUGGUGGUAAAUUGAAUGAUUGGCAUGCUGCAGCACAUGGUAUAUCGGUUGUCAGUAGCCCCUGAGAUUUUGUUACUAUGUUGUCAGUGUUCAGGCAAGUCCUUAGGACCCGUUUGGCCAUGAAAACUUAAAACGUAUUCACUCUAUUUGUUUUUUUUUUUUUGAAUUUGAAAAUGGAGUUGAGAGUUGUGUUUGGCCAUAGUAUUUUCAAAAAUAUUUUAGACUUUGAUUGUACUUUUUUGUAAAGUAAUAGGAAAAAUUGUGUGCAAAAAAAGCGAGAACACCUUAAGAGGUGUUUUCAAAAAAAUAAAAUAAAAAAUUGUGAUAACAUAUUCCGGAAUACAUUUUUGGUCUUCAUGGCCAAACAAGUAUUCCGGAAUAAAGUGAAAACGUAUUCCAGAAUAUUCUGAAUAAUAUUUAUGGCCAAAUGCCUACUCAAUGUAUUACACCGUCGUAGAUGUUGUUCAGUGUACACUGUUGUCAAAAAGUACCUAUUUGCUCUCUUUCUUUUAAUAUUUGUUGAUUUAAUGCUUUUGUUUUUUGUUCAGUUUCCAAAAAAACAAAAAAUUGAAACAGUUUCCAAAAAUCCUUUUGUUUUUUCGCCAAGUCUAUGUAGACCUAUGAAAGAUAAUGCAAAAUUAAAGAAAAAGUUUUUUGUAGGCAAUAUUAAUUAGUUGGUAAUUAUGUUUUAGUCAUGUUAAUAUAGCAUGUACUUUAGGUCAUAUGCUUUCGAGGAGUCGGCCAUAUCAAAGAGUUUUAUUGCAAGUAGGAAAUAUAGAGAACUUCUAGUACUUUUAUUUUUAUUUGUGUUUUGUGUAGUUUUGGCGUGAGAUGAAUUUAAAUGGAGAAACAUGGUCAGUGAGGAUUCAUAUAAAUUCUAACCUAUACAAUUUGUUUGUGACUUAGGCAUAGUAGUUUUGUAUUUUUUCGUUCGCUGCAAUAAGUUUUCAUUUCAUUAUUUGUUCUUAAUCUAUCUUGAAGAUUCUACACCGAUGCUGAGAAAUGGAGAAACUGGAGAUUGGAUUGGAACAUUUGAAGGGCAUAAAGGAGCAGUGUGGAGUUGUUGUCUGGAUAAGAAUGCUCUUCGUGCUGCAUCUGCAUCUGCCGAUUUCAGCGCGUAUGUUAUCUAACGGCUUCACUUCAGUACUUUGAAAAUAAACAUUUAAGUGACAUUUGUAUGGAGACAUCAGUCUGCAAGAAGUGAUGUAGAACAAUAAUAGUGCUUUUGUGGCAUGUCUAUUACUGGCCGAUCUUUCAUGUCAUUAUCUACAUAGAUUUAUUAUUAAAUAUCUAAUAGCAUAUUGAAUAUGGUAGAAGCUUCGUCAUCCUUUUUAGAGUUCUCCAUAGCUUAAUUGUCCCUUUUUUUCCUUUUUAUAUUGUGUGAUUUGUGUUGGUUGUUUUUAGGAAAUUAUGGGAUGCAUUAACUGGGGAUGUUUUGCACUCAUUUGACCACAAGCACAUAGUUCGAGCCUGUGCCUUUUCAGAGGUACCUUUACAACCAUAUUUCCUUUACUUCUAUAAAAGGUCUUUCGGGUUAGAGCUUUAUAACUUCACUUAAGUUGUAGUAACCAAGCUAUGAUAUCGAUUUAAUAGAAUACUAUUGUACUGCUAUUUUCUGGUCUUUGUUUGACACAUGUAAAGGGUCUAAUGAAUGUAUUUCUGUUCUUUUAUAACUCUUUUUUUUGAACUUUGCAUCUCCUUGAUGCUUUAAUAAUGAAAUACCUUCAUAAAACAAUAGAAUACUGUGACUGUAUAUGCCCAUCAAGGCUUAUGCAUAUUGGCAGAAAUCACACUUCAUUGACAGGCAGGCCACACUCUUGGGUGCUCAUGUAAAGUCUCCUUAUUUUAGGUUGAAAAAUAAGAGCAGAGAAUGCCAAUUUCAAUUAUUGCCAAGUCAUGAGAGGCUACUGCUAUUGAAAGGCAAACAUCUUUCAUUGUUAAAAACUAACUGAGAUUUUUUCAGGCUUGAGUUAAAUUCUCUAGUCAAUUCUAUGUGAUGGGAACUUAUCUUCCUUUUCUUUUUUUUAUCAGUACACGUGUCAAAGGGACUUCAGUCCAUAUUUAUCUUUCCCAUUUAUUGGCCUUCACAUUCUGAUAAUUUGUAUGAACUAUGUGUGGCGAUUUUGCAGGAUACAAAUCUGCUGCUCACCGGUGGUUUUGAAAAAAUUCUUCGGAUAUUUGAUUUAAACCGACCAGAUGCACCUCCAAGGGAAAUUGACAGCUCUCCUGGUUCAAUUAGGACAGUUGCUUGGCUGCACAGUGAUCAAACUAUAUUGAGUUCCUCUGGAGAUGCUGGUGGAUUGAGGUAGGCUUUCAAAAGUCCGCCGACUCUAUUUGUAUAUUUUGUUUAUGUUUUUCUUGCUGGUUGCAUUAGUGAUGUGGGCCAUGUGGCUAGUGCUCAUUGUCACUUAGACAUAGCAAGUAAUUGUACAUGCUCAAAGCUCAGAGGUUUGAUAAAUUGGUUGCUCACUGUCUUUGCCAAUACAAUGCUUGGAUUUGUAGAUCAAUUCACUGCGAAUAUUACUGGAUACUUGAUACAAAGGCCACACAUGUGGUUCAUAUUUCCGUCAUGAACUUUCACUCCCCCAGUAGUGCUCACUAUCUUAAAUUGGUUUAAUUUAAUUGUUGUAACCUAGGUUAUGGGACGUGAGGAGUGGCAAAGUUGUUCAAAUCCUUGAAACUAAGUUUCCUGUAACCAGUGCUGAAGUAAGUCAAGAUGGUCGUUACAUAACAACUGCUGAUGGUUCCUCUGUCAAGUUUUGGGAUGCUAACCAGUAUGUAUUUGUUUUUCAUACUUUAAUGGCACAAAGAUAUUUUAAAUAGAGAAUGUUGCCACAGUUUACUUUGCAUUUUAACCUUUUUCUUUAAAAGCAGCUUUGGAUUGGUGAAGAGCCAUGACUUGCCUUGCAAAGUUGAAUCUGCUUCCCUGGAACCAAAGUUCGGUAAUAGGUUCAUUGCUGGAGGAGAAGAUAUGUGGGUUCAUGUCUUUGAUUUUCACACUGGAGAGGAAAUUGGUAGGUUGUAUGGGGCUCGUAAAUAUUUAGAAACUGUAGUUACUCUGAUCAGUAUCUUUGUUUAUGUGUUCCUUUUUCUGGUUAUUUUUUCCAGUAUUUGCGUUUUCUCAACUUCACUAAAGGUUUUGCUUCUCUUUCCGUUCAAGCUUUAACCACAUGCUAUAUUCUGUUUCUGUACAACAUAGGUUGCAACAAGGGACACCAUGGUCCUGUCCACUGUUUGCGGUUCUCCCCAGGGGGUGAAUCCUAUGCCUCAGGAUCUGAAGAUGGGACUAUUAGAAUAUGGCAGCUGGGCCCUCUUGGUCAGAUUGAGGACAACGGGUCUACUACUGCAAAUGCCAGUGGUGAUGGUAUGGGUGAGGUGACCCAAAAGAUUGACGAGUUGGCUGUUUCAGAAACAAAGAAGACUGAAGGGACACAUGUUGAUGGUGUGGAGAAGGUAGUUGAUACCUGAUUAGGAGUUUUAAGGAUUUUGUAUGGUUUCACCUCUUGGAAAGCUUGUUUGUAACUUGCUUGACUUGUGAGGUUUUUUCGUAUUAAAUUAAACUUAAAGCUUUUGAGAGUGUUGGCUAUUCUUUUCUUGGCCGUGGUCCUAAUCAUCAGUCAUAUAAUCUAUGGAGUAGUUGUCUCUGUCAAGCUGAGAGAGGUACACACCUAGGUAGCUCUCUUCUCAGGUUCAUGACGUCCUUGAAUUUGCAAUUGCUUUUAAAAACCCGUAGGAUGUCCGAACCAGUAUAGCCGCAUACCUAGGAAGACUCUAGUAGCCUUUUAAGCCGCACACCUACGUAGCCUCAGAGCCUUGAAAAUUUUAUUUGUGCCCGUUUGUUUCAAUGUGUUGGUUCUUUUAAUGUCACGGGUCAGAGUUUAACUAGUUCUUCAAACUUUCGAUGAUUUUCGUGUAAUUAUAUUACAUUUUGCUUGAGUAACCCUUUCUGUAGUUAAAACUUUUUAGGCAAUGCAGUAAAACUUUGUAGUUCGAUGCACUGGUUAAUAUCUGCAAUGCGCAUUUGUCAGCAGCAUUGAUUCAAAGUGCCGGAAUGCAGAAUUCGACAAUGAGGCAUAGUAAAUCACAGAAUAAUGCCAAUAAAUUCGUGCGAGAUUGAUGACCAGCAUCUAACUCUCAGUACAUUUUCGCCUAUGAUCAGCAAUUGGAGCUUCUUGAAUUUAUAUUUUCCGCGUAGGGUCUUUACAGUAUAGUUCAUGUACUUUAGUUUCUUAAAAAAAUUUCGCAGUUUGUUGUUAUAAAAUUAUAACGGGGAGAUGACUCACCUUUUAUUUGAGACGAUAAUUUCGUAAUUGUGUAAAAAAUUAUCAUGAUUUUAAGUAAUAUCUAUAGGCAGAUAUCACUAAUUUAAUCCCUCUGACCAAAAUGGACACCUAAAGUUUGGUGGUUGGUUAGAUUGUUAAGAGUCGUGCAAAAUUUAAUUAUUCAUGUAUUUGUUAUUUAUUUUUUAUCCACACAAAAUCAUACAUUCUUUAAACAUAUUUAUACCUGUUUAAUUAAUGCGAGAUGGUAAAAUAACAAGAAAACACCGUACAUAAUAUACUAAAUUUUAUACAGAACAACAAAAGAAUCACCCAACAUGACAUUAAUUAUACUAAAUUUAGUACUUUAUUCAUUCACUUUUAUUUGUUCACGUUGCUCUUUACACCUCAAUUAAGAAAUAAUGAUUAAUAUGAAUAUUUUAUCAUAAUAUUAAUUUAUUUCUAGGUUCCAGUCUUUAAAAAAUAAUUAAUUACUCUCUAUGUCUCAUUUUAUGUAUCGUCAUUUGACCGGACACAAAAUUUAAGAAAUAAAUGACGAUUUUGUGAAAUUUAUAAAAUUAUCUCUCUUAAAUUUUUAUUUUUAAUUAUUUUUCUUAUAAAAUAAGACUCUAUAAAAAUAAAAUAUGAAUAAUACUAUUAAAUAGUUAACAAAUAAAAAAAUAUAAUACUCUCUUUGAAAAAGACCCAAAAAAAAAAAGCACACAUCAAAUGGAAGGGAGGGAGUAAUAAUAUUUACUAUUAAGAAUAAAAAAAAGUAGGAAGAGUGUACGAAUAACAGUGAAGCAGCAGUAGAUGGAAAAAUAGUCCUUCCUAAACCGGCCAACCAAACGACCCCGUUUAUGUGUCGUACGUAUUAACACGCUAUAUAUAAUACUUAGGAUCCCGAGAGAAUUGAGAAGCAGGCAUGGUUGAAGAAGUAUCAGAAAGGGUGAUGGGUGAUUGUUCAACCUCUUCCAUGUCGUCUAAUUUGAGUGAGGUUUUUCACUUCUCAUCUGGAAACCCUCGCAUCGAAGAAACAAGAGGAAUCAUGCAUCUCUUCUCCAACAACCACCUUUCUUCUCACUUGCCUGUAUGUAUCCUCCUCUUCGUAUUCCAAUCCUUCUGAAUUUGAACUUUUAGUAUUCAGCAUUUUGAUCUUAUUUUGUUUUCUCAAAACUGUUGAUCAAUAAUAGGUCUAAGUUGUGUAAUUAACAAAAAAUAAAACAAUGACUAGGGAUUGACUAUAUGAAUCGGUGUUGAACCUUUAGAAAUGAAGUCGACUUAUCUAGUUCCAUUGAUGUUGUCUCUAGGUGGACAGAAAGCAGCUCCUUUGUGUGCUCUUUGUUCCGAAUCACAUGACGUAUGCGGACUUUUGUCAGUUUUGUGGUUCAUUUAUUCAACAUAUGUUGGAAAUGCGAAUUGUCAGGUACUCUAUUGUAGAUUUUGUGAGGUAUUUAUUUUGACUGGUUGGACUGUGAUUCGUUCUCAACUUUGGUGUCUUGUGUGUACUCCUCUAGGAACGAUGGAAUGGAAGAUUGUUACAGUAUAUUAAUCAGGUUUGAUCAGCAGAAAGCUGCUGAUACAUUUCACAAGCAUUUUAAUGGUAGAAAAUUUUCAUCUCUUGAGGUGUGUUUGAUCAAUAGUUCUCUCCUGCUUUGGCAUCGUAUUAGGUAUCUCAUAGCAUCAGUUUCAUGCUCCGUUCUUGUUUGUUGUUUCUUUGCUUGCAGGAAGAGACGUGCAAUGUCCUUUUUGCUGCUGAUGUUCAUUACACUGGUUCAAUUGAACAUACACAGUCCACACCUGCAAGCUCUACAGAGCAACCGUUCUGCGCUGUUUGUCUUGGUAUUUACCUUAUCUAGUUUCAAAAUACUUUUUUUUUUUUGAAAUGACUUCAUUUUUGGAGCUUACUCAUUCAACCACUGAGCACAUUUAAAGUGAGAUUCACUCCAAAAAUGUUAAGAGAUUUCCAUAUUCAUUCAUUCAUUUUCCUCCAAAUUGUUUGUAACUUUAGUUUUAACAUCUAAUGUAAAAGUUUACCAUUUGCUAUCAAUUAAAGAAUGUGAUGAUUUAGGCCAUGAGAAUAUCAUAUUAGCUUGCUUUAUCAUAUAGCUCGAUAGUAUGAUCUUAGAAGAUCUUAGAGAUAUGUUUUUUUUUUUCGUUUACUCCUUGGGUAGAGUCUAGUAGGUUUCAAGAGUUCCAAAACUAGGUCCUCAUUGAGUCUUCCACUAGAACAAGGAUUCUAGACUAGUAUCAACGAGGAAUAUUUCUAAGGGUUCUAAUUUGUUUGGAACAUUCUUAGAAAUGACACCAUUUACUUAUUUUGGCAAACUGGACUAGUAUAGAAGAAUUGAUUUGGUAUUGAAAUCUCCUUCUUUAUUCUUUCAUUUUCUCUCUUUGUUUCAUUUUAUCUCUUUUCUUUCUUUGUCUCUCCAUAUUUCCGUCUCUUUUCUCUCUAUCCAUCUCUCGUUCUCUCAUUUCUCUUUUAAACACCUUUGUCACAACCCAAGCUGGGGCCAUGACCAACACCCCAGGGGCUUGUCCCGCAAGUGAACCAACUCAACUUAACUCAAUGUCACAUUAAGCUACUUAUUAUCUACUUGUUCCAUCUCAUGACAAUGACUAAUAUCCAACAUGAUUAAAGUAUAAUAUAAACUUGGUAACAGCUACUCAAAGCUCCAUACAAACUCACAACUACUUAAAUGCUUCCCGUCUCAAAGCAUUUAUGAGCAAUUCGAGUAACUUGAUAGGAAGUUGAUUUCCGUGGUCAAGGUAGAUAUGAAUGUCUAUUUUGUCACCUCUACCCAUCCUCUUAGAUUUUACAAUCCUAAAUUUGCUUUCAUUUUUGGAAACGUUGAAUCAAUUUUAACAAUUAAAUAACAUUGAAUCAAUUUAUUAGAGUUUAACCUUAUAAAAGAGAUUGGUAUUCAUGUGGAUGUGUAGCCAGAGAUUUCCAAUUUUUGGAUGGGAAAUAUAGGAGUUUCCUCUCAUAUGUAUCUUAAUUCCUGUGCAAUUUGCAGAGAGACUGGACCAGGAUACAAGUGGAAUUCUUACAACCAUUUGUAAUCAUUCCUUUCAUUGUUCAUGUAUUUCAAAAUGGACAGAUUCUUCAUGCCCUGUAAGUAAUACCGUACUUUUAUCUUUCCAUCAUAUGUUUGACCUUCAACUUAGACAUGUCUAAGGUUUUUUUUUUUUUAAAGUUCUCAUAAAAACACUUAAACAUGGUCUAGAUUUUCUGGAAAACUGGAUUAAUCUUGAUGCCCUAGUAUUCCUAUUCCUGCAAUUGUCAUGGACCAUAACUUGUAUAGGUUUUAGGUGCUUGUCAAUGUCUUAAUUGUUCCCUAGUAUUCCUAUUCCUGUAAUUGUCAUGGACCAUAACUUGUAUAGGUUUUAGGUGCUUGUCAAUGUCUUAAUUGUUAGGUGCUUGUCAAUGUCUUAAUUGCCUUACUUGUUUGCUUUAAAUUUCUGCCGUAAAUUUUUAAGAACGUGGCCUUGUGGAGCAUUUCAAGAUGGAAUGAGAUCCACUUCUACAAUUGUUGUGUGUUGCACAUGCAGUUUUAAUUUUUUAUUGCAUGUAAGUUUCUUGUAUCAUUAUGUAGCCUUUACUUUUCAUCACUCUAUUGAAAGUGGAGGAAAUCUUCUUGUUAUAUCAAUUUGAUACCCUUUUAUGUCUUGAAUUUGUGAACUUUUUACCCCUUACGGUGAAGUCAUUUCCCUCAAGGUUGGUUUAGAGAUCAAAAUCCCCUCCGUCCAAAAUUUUGAAUAAAUGGGCAUUCUCCCCCCUCUCAAGUAGUUGCAGUUGACCUCCCAUUGGUUUUCACCUCCUUAUGUUUUUGAGUUUGGCUGUUAGUUUCCUGUGGUAGCUUGCAAAAUAGACACUUUAAAAACUUAUUUUGGCAUUUAGACACACGUCUUGGAAAAUUAGGUGUUUAGACACUAAAAUGACAUCAUCACUUCUUACAUACAAACCUAGCACACACGAUUUAAAAUUUAUACUUUAGUCCCCCACUUCAUUCAUUUAAUAUUUUCCAUCAUUUUUUAUAUUUCCACCAUUUUUUCAUAUUUUCCUAUUUUAAUUUAAAAAAUUGUCCGAGAAGCCACCAAUAGGAGCUCCCUUUUUCACCAAUAAUUUCCGAUUCCGGCGACUUUCCGACAAAAAGUUGCUCAUCACAACUGAAAAUCUCCAUUCUUGGUCAUUACCUCCAUUGUUGUUCCAUCUUUUUUGAAAAAAAAAAUGCAAAAAAUAUUUUUUUAACCAUUUUUACGAGCUUGAAAAGCUUUUCAAAUCCUCUCAAUACAUAUUUCAGUAGUUUAGAAGUCCUACCCAUACAUUUGUCCAUCUCAGAGCUAGGAGGGCAUCGAUUAUAUCCAAAAUCGAUCCAUUCACGUCUUUGUACAGACGUUUUCAUACCAGUGAUCGACCUGCUAUAGACCGAUACCUUAAUUUAUUAUCGAUUAGUGUGGUCUAUUAUGGCAGUAGCUGAGGAAAUUGUCGUGGGUGGUAAUUAUAUGGGUGUGUGGGAGGAGGGUCCCAACUAUUGGAAGUGGAAAUCAUCUAGCAGGGAGACAGUGCCCAUCCCGCUGCCUCGCAAUGGUUCGUACGACUACAUGGUUUGAAGCGUAAUUGAGAGCGGAGAAUUAGAUUGCGAGCCAAAGAACGUUGUGAUUAGCUAUGUAAUGAAUGAGCGGGGUAAAAUACAUCCCACGUUCAUAAAGAAUGACCGUCAUGUGUCGUUAUAUAUGUUCGAUGUCGUUGUCGAUGGCUCUAGGCCAUUAUUGAGGAUAAAUGUCGUCCCGGGGUCUCCGACAAUCUCGCCACCACAGCCGACAAUCGACGAACAUGAUUUAUUUGAAGAUGAGAGUUUGGAUGCUCAUCCAAUGAAUUUGGAAGAUCAUUCAAUGGAAUUGGAAGAUCCAAUUUUCUCUGAAGAAGCGGGAGAAGAGUGCGGAUUGGGAGCAUAAACCAACCACACCUUCUCUGACGGAACUAAUUUUCAGCUAAGUCAAACAUUUAGCAGCAAAAAGGAGCUGAAAUUGUUGUUGGACGUAGCAGCUAUGAGAAAUUCUUUUGAUUAUGCUAUAUUGAAGAGCUGCCGCAAAUUCCUCAAGGUCAAAUGCGUUUGUCCUAGUUGUGCGUGGAUGUUGCGAGCGAAGAAGUAUCAAUGCAUGGACAGAUUUAUCAUCUAUAAAUACGUUGGUGAUCACAGUUGCGGCGUCGAAUGUGGCACGCACAGCCAUAGAAAAAUCACGUCUAAAGUCAUUGCAUUGCUCUGUGUGAACCUGUAUCGUGAAGGAAAGAUUUCGGACACUAGUGAGAUUCGGAGGAUCGUUUUCAAGAACUUGAGAAGUAGACCAACCUAUUGGAAAUGUUGGUUGGGGGGUGUGAUUGCCAAGGAAAUGGUUUGAGGGACAGCGGAGCACAUGUAUUCUUGCUUGCCGGCUUUUUCGUACAUGAUCGACGCUUUUAAUGUUGGCACUACCUAUUCCAUCAUGGUGAACAAGGUCGAUUGUAGGGUGAUGUACUACUUUUUAGCAUUGGGCCCUUGCAUUUAGGGAUUCGCCCACAUGAGGAAUGUUAUUGUGGUCGACGACACUCAUUUAUACGGCAAGUACGAGGGCGUGUUGCUAAGCGCGGUUGCACAGGAUACCGAGAACCAUAUUUAUCCCAUUGCCUUUUGCGUCGUUGACAAGGAGAACGAUGCGCCUUGGACGUUCUUCUUUGAGAAGCUAAAGUCUAUUGAGGUUGAUGGACCAGAUUUGUGUUUUAUCUCUGAUAGGCACAAGAGCAUUGCCAACGGCAUCGCGAGGGAUUACAACCAUGCUCAUCACGGGUACUGCAUGAGGCAUCUAGGUGAAAAUCUCUGGGUAAAUCACCACUGCGGAGAACACCUCUAUCUAUUCUACAACGCGACAAAGGCGUAUUCUCUCGAGGAGUUUAGCGACCAUUUGAGGAUUCAAGAACUACUAUCCCGCGGAAGCCUUUUUCCUUGAGCAUGAGCUUGGUUUCUAGAAAUGGAGCAGGGCAUUUCCCCGGCAACAGGUUUGACGUGAUGACCUCAAAUAUUGCCGAGUCGAUUAAUUCUAUGUUGAUUGCCGAAAGGGAGUACCUCGUGGCAUCCAUAUUCAAUUCGAUUGCUAAGAGGUUUGGUAAUAUAUUCAAGGAGAGGCGUGCCUACGUCCUCACAUAUAAGGAUAAUAAAUUUGUGUCCGCCGCCGAAAAGAUCUUAAGGGACAAUAUAAGCGAGGGGGACUCCUAUGUGGAGAACGUAAGCGGGGAUGAAAGGCAAUUCACAGUGUUCGUCAGUGGCUGUACAACCAAAGUCGACCUACUGGAAAGGUCAUGUUCUUGCAGGAAGUUUGAGCUGGUCAAAAUACCAUGCACUCACGCGAUGGCCGGUUUGCGAUUGAAGCACGGUGAUGAUUAUGGAUUGAGAGUCUAUGAUUAAUCUUCGCCCGUGUAUAAAGUGGAAGAGUACCUCCUUGCGUAUUCAGAAUCAAUUAAUGUUGUCCCUUUGGAGUCUGAAUGGCGCGUUCCACAAGAAUUGCUAGACGUGAACAUUAUUCCACCUCCGUGGUCACCAAGCUCGAAAGGAAGAAAAGAAAACGCGUUAAGGGCGUGGGCGAGACUUUUAAGAAGAGGAGGAACAAGUGUUCACUAUGCAAGAGACCCACUUGUAACAACAACAAAUCGUAGUUAAGACUUGUAUGAAUUUGUGUCUUUUUAAGUCAUGGCAGUGUAUGCAUUUUGACAACCCUUUAGUGGUCUGAUUAAUGCUAGUCUUAUCGAUUUUACUCUGUGUCUAUUAUCGACCUUUUAAGGUAUUGCAUAUAUAUUGCGUGUCAGGUCUAUUGCUAGUAUUCUUUAUAUAACACAUAGUUUAUUAUCGAUCCCAUAUAAAGUCUAUUAAAAACCUUAAAGUAUUCACAGGGACUGAUGAACAAUUGAGCAUUUAUUACACAUCAAAAAAGCUGUUGCACGUCCACUCACACCUUGCGUCGAUUGGGUAUACGCUACCUCUUCGAAAUCCAUGCGUCUACCUACCAUUGGGCGGGAAGACCAAAGGGUUCUAUUUUGGUCUAUAUAAACACCCAUCUAAUAUACCCAAAAUUCAUCUUUAUCAACAUAAAAAAUAGAUUAAAUCAACAAGAUGCCAGGCAUUCCAUUGAGACCAAGAAGGAGGAUCCAGCGUAGCUACGACCUUCUCCUCCCCCGUAACGACCUAGACCGUCUCUUCUAUGGUCUAGGACAGGACAGGGAGCACUUCCACCGCGAACUCCAGCGUAUCGCUCGUGAGCGGCUCAACAUAGAGCCCGAGGAGAUGCACCCCCCCCCCCCCCCCCCCAAAUCUCUUUAGUUUAGGUUUUAAUUUCUGUUAUUUUUUUUUGUUUUAAGUUCAUUGCAAUAGGAAGCUUUCAUGGUUGGGAAUAUGUUAGAUGAAAAUUUCUUUAUUUUGUUGUACAUAUGGUUCUACACCAUUGCAAUGAAGUAUCUUGUGUUUCCUAUAUUUGUCUCCUCUUUAAUUUUUGCAAUUUUGUUCUUGUUUGAAUGUUUGCAAUUUCCCCUGUUAGAAGAUGAAACAAACUGUUGUGAGAUGUGAAAAUUAAUUCAUAUAUGAUAAUGAAAAAUGAAUCUGGUCAAUUCGGGGUUAUUUUGCUGUAAAUAUGGUGCUAAACCAUUGCAAUGAACUUAUGAAUGGAAUAUUUUCAUGUUUCCUGCAUUUGUCUCCACUUUAAUUUUACAAUUUUCUUCUUUUUUGAAUUUUUGCAAUUUACCCUAUUAGAAGAUGAACGAAACAGUUGUCAGAUGUCAAAAUUAAUUCAUAUAUGCUAGUGGAAAAUGAAUAUGGUCUAUCCACAAUUAUGUUGAUUUAUACAAAAUUAAAUACAAAGUCGAUGUAGUUUAUUAUUUACGGAGCUCAAUAUCUAUGCGUGAACAUCUACGUAAUCGAUUCAUUCCACUAUGAGGUCUAUCGAUUGUAUCCAGUGUAUAUCAUAGAUGGUAAGCCUUGUCAAUAAUAUACCGUAUUGGUUUAUUGCCCUUAGUAGCAUAUUUGGAAAAAAAGGAAAUAAUUUCUCGCAGCUGCUACGUCCAACAACAAUUUCAACUUUUUUUUGCUGCUAAAUGUUUGAUUUAGCUGAAAAUUAGUUUCGUUGGAGAAGGUGUGGUUGGUUUGUGCUCCCAAUCCGCACUCUUCUCCCGCUUCUUCAGAGAGAAUUGGAUCUUCCAAUUCCAUUGAAUGCUCUUCGGAAUUCAUUGGAUGAACAUCCAAACUCUCAUCUUCAAAUUAAUCAUGUUCAUCGAUUGUCGGCUAUGGUGGCGAGAUUGUCGGAGACCCCGGGACGACAUUUAUCCUCAAUAAUGGCCUAGAGCCAUCGUCAACGACAUCCAAUACAUAUAACGACACAUGGCGAUCUUUCUUAGUGAACAUGGGAUGUAUUUUACCCCGCUCAUUCAUUACAUAGCUAGUCACAACGUUCUUUGGCUCGCAAUCUAAUUCAUCGCUCUCAAUUACGCUUUGAACCAUGUCGUCGUACGAACCAUUGCGAGGCAGCGGGAUGGGCAUUGUCUCCUUGCUAGAUGAUUUUCCACUUCCAAUAGUUGGGACCCUCCUUCCACACACCCAUAUAAUUACCACCCACGGCAAUUUCCUCAGCUACUGCCAUAAUAAACCACACUAAUCGAUAAUAGAUUAAGGUAUCGGUCUAUAGCAAGUCGAUCACUGGUAUGAAAAUGUCCGUACAAAAAUGUGAAUGGACCGAGUUUUGGAUAUAAUCAAUGUCCUCCUAGCUCUGGGAUGGACAAAUGUAUGUGUAGGAUUUCUAAACUACUGAAAUAUAUCUAAUGACGAGGUAUUGAGCGGAUUUGAAAAAUUUUUCAAGCUUGUAAAAAUGGUGAAAAGAAUAUUUUUUACAUUUCUUUUCAAAAAGGUUGGAACAACAAUGGAGGCAAUGAUCAAAAAUGGAGAUUUUCAGUUGUGAUGAGCAAUUUUUCGGUGGAAAAGUCGCCGGAAUCGGAAAUUAUUGGUGAAAAAGGGAGUUCCUAUUGGUGUCUUCUUGGAUAAUUUUUUUAAUUAAAAUAGGGAAAAAUGGUGGAAAUAUAAAAAAUGAUGGAAAAUAUUAAAUGAAUGAGGUGGGGGACUAAAGUGUAAAGUUUAAAACUUGUGUUUUGGGUUUGUAUGUAAGAAGUAAUGAUGUCAUUUUAGUGUCUAAACACCUAAUUUUCCAAGACUUGUGUCUAAAUAGCAAAAUAAGUUUUGAAAGUGUCUAUUUUGCAAACUACCCCACUUUGUGUAGUGAGAGUUAGCCUGUUUUCUAGACAUCAUAUACCAGUAUUAUUUAGAAAAUAUGUAUUUCAUUUGAAGUUUUAAUAGAAAUUAGCUGACUCAGCUAAAACAAAUUCUCUCAGGUAUGCCGAUAUUGCCAGCAGCAGCCUGGAAACUCAACAUGUUCUGUCUGUCAAUCACCAGAAAAUCUGUGGAUGUGUGUUAUUUGUGGUUUUGUUGGAUGUGGAAGGUAAUAAUACUCUCUCUCUCUUGUAAUUUGACCAAUUCUAUUUGAAGUUUGAUCUUCUUAUACAAAAAUAAUUAUGAGGGUUAAAAUCAUUUGCACCCUUAACAUUCCUUUAAGAAUUAAAUUCCUCCAAGUUUGAAUAGUAGACGUUUGUCCCCUUAUAUCAUAAUUGAGUAUUUUAAGUGUAUCAUAAUUGAGUAUUUUAAGUGUACCCUCUAUGUUAUCAACAUUCUCUUUUCUUUUGCAUUUUAAAUAUCAUGAUGUUUUUCUCUUUUCUAAAAUCUGUGUUAUGGACUUACAUACUCCCUCCGUUCACUUUUACUUGUCACUAAUUUCCUAAUUGAAUUUUUAUUUUUACUUGUCAUUUUUAUUUUUAUUUUUUUACAUAUCAACAAAAAUAUCAUGCAUUUUUUUUUCUAUAUAUACUGUCCUUUGUUCCCAGACCCCACUAAGUGGGAAUACACUGGGUUUGUUGUUGUUGUUGUACUGUCCUUUGUCUUGAGCCGGGGAUCUAUUGGAAACAACCUCUCUACUUCUUUAGAGGUAGUGGUAUGGACUGCGUACACUCUACCCUCCCCACACCCCACGAUGUGGGAAUAUACUGGGUUUGUUGUUGUUGUUGUUGUUGUUGUACUUGUCAUUUUUUACAUAUCAAGAAAAGACAACUUUUUUUCCUAUUUUUCCUGUAGCAUUAAUUUUUUUUUCUCCAAAUUAAUUUCAAGACAUAAUUUAAACAUCAUUUAAUAGGGGUACUAUGGUAAAAUAACCAUGUUAUUAAUUGUUUUUCUUAAUAGGUGUGUCAUCUCAAUCUGUGACGAGUAAAACUGUACGGAGGGAGUAUAUACUAAACAUCUCUCUUUUUUUUUUCUCAAGGGGAACAUAUCUCAUUUGCAAAGUGAAGAAAACAAAGUAGUAAUCAAGCAACAACAACAAACCCAGUGUAUUCCCACACAGUGGGGUCUGGGGAGGGGAAAAUGUACGCAGUUCAUACCACUACCUCCGGAGAGGUAGCAAGGCUGUUUCUGAUAGACCCCCGGCUCAAGACAGAGAAUAAUAAACAAGUUCAUAAUAAAAGCAUGAAACAAGAUGGCACAACAGAUAUAAGACACCCACACAUUAAUACCCUGCACUAACGUACCAAAGGCACCCCCACAUGCACUAGCCUUCUAUCCUAAUUCGCGUCUUCCACACCUUCCUAUCUAAGGUCAUGUCCUCGGUAAGCUGUAAUUGCUCCAUGUCACGUCUAAUCACCUUUCUCCAAUACUUCUUUGGCCUACCCCUAUCCCGCCUGAAGCCAUCCAAAGCUAGCCUCUCACACCUACGAACUGGGGCAUCCGUGUCCCUCCUCAUCACAUGUCCAAGCCAUCUCAGUGGAACUUCCCGCAUCUUGUCCUCCACCGAAGCCACUCCAACCUUCUCACGGACAGUCUCAUUCCUAACCCUAUCACCCCUAGUAAGCCCACACAUCCAACGCAACAUCUGCAUUUCCGCCACCUUCAAUUUUUGAACAUAAGAGUUCUUGACUGGCCAACACUCCGCUCUGUACAACAUGGUUGGCCGAACUGUCACUCUGUAGAACUUGCCUUUCAGUUUGGGUGGCACCUUCUCUUCAUAUAACACUCCCGAGGCGAGCCUCCACUUCGUCCAACCUGCCCCAAUACGAUGGGAGAUAUCCUUAUCAAUCUCACCAUUUUCCUAAAUCAUCGACCCGAGAUACUUAAAACUAUCCCUCCUACAAACAACCUGGGACCCCAACCUCACUACCCCGUCGUCCUCCUGUCUCAAGUCAUCAAACUUGCAUUCCAUAUACUCAGUCUUGCUCCUACUCAACCUGAACCCUUUAGACUCAAGGGUUUGUCUCCAAACCUCCAAUUUAUCAUUCACACCUCCCCGCGUCUUAUCAAUCAAAACAACAUCAUUUGCAAAAAGCAUACACCAAGGCACCUCACCUUAAAUACGCCGCGUCAACACAUCCAUCACCACCGCAAACAAAAAUGGGCUAAGAGUCGAUCCUUGAUGCAACCCUGUUAAAACCGAAAAAUGCUCUGAAUCUCUUCCCGCUGUCCUCACUUGAGUCUUUGCUCCCUUAUACAUGUCCUUAAUCGAUCUGAUGUACGCCUUCGGGACACCACUCACCUCCCAAGCAUCUCCAAAGCACCUCCCUAGGGACUUUGUCGUAUGCCUUCUCCAAGUCGAUAAACACCAUGUGCAGGUCCUUCCUUUCCCUAUACUGCUCCACCAGUUUCCGCACCAGAUGAAUUGCCUCUGUCGUCGAGCGCCCGGGCAUAAAUCCAAACUGAUUCUCCGAAAUACACACUAUCCUCCUCAACUUCCGCUCGACCACUCUCUCCCAAAUCUUCAUCGUGUGACUCAACAACUUAAUGCCCUUAUAGUUGGUGCAACUCUAGAUGUCAUCCUUGUUCUUAUAUAGAGGAAUCAUGAUACUCCAUCUCCAAGCCUCGGGCAUUUUCGCAGUCUUAAAGAUGCCGUUAAACAACUUCGUCAACCACCUUACACUUCCAAAAAUCCACAGGAAUCUCGUCCGGCCCCGUCGCCUUACCCCUCCUCAUCUUGUGAAUAGCCUCGCUGACCUCCUCAUCUUAAAACGCCUUCAAUAGCUGAAAUCACGACACCCCUCUGUGUGCUCUAGCUCCCCUAACACAAUGUCCCUGUCCCCCUCCUCAUAAAGAGAAUGAAAAUACGACUGCCAUCUUCUCUUAAUAUGCACGUCUUCCACUAGCACACUACCAUCCUCCCCCUUAAUACACUUCACUUGAUCAAAGUCCCGCCCCUUCCUCUCCCUAGCCUUAGCAAGCCUAAACAACUUUUUUUCUCGACCUCUCUCUUCUAACCCCUCAUACAAGCUCUUAAAUGCUGUCGUCUUCGCAGCCGUAACUGCUAACUUGGCCUCUCUCCUAGCUAACUUGUACUCCUCCCUAUUUACGCGCUUAUCUUAUUCAUCCUUACUCUCUACCAACUUAGCAUACAUCCCCUUCUUAGUCUCCACUUUCUUCUUAACUUCUUCAUUCCACCACCAAUCCCCCCGAUGCUGACCACCCCGGCCUCUCGAGACACCCAACACCUCUCUAGCCAUCUCCUUGAUACACCUAGCCGCCCUAUCCUACAUACCAUCCAUGUCUCCCCUACACUUCUACACCCCAUCUCGGCCACCUUAUCCCCUAUCUCCAGCGCACUCACCGGCGUCAAGCCACCCCACUUAAUCCUAGGUCGGCCCUCCCCACCCCUUCUCUUCCUAUCCUUUUUUAAACCCAGGUCUAUCACCAGAAGCCUGUGUUGGGUCGAAAGGUUCUCCCCAAGCAACAGAAAGUCAAUCUGGGUCUUGGCUAUUGCGCUUCGGAAGGUGAUCAGGUGAUCCUCCUUCUUCGGAAAGCUCGAAUUCACUACCACCAUCCCAAAGACCCUCGCAAAAUCCAACAGAGCCACUGCCUCAUCAUUUCUCUCCCCAAAACCAUACCCACCAUGCACAUUGCCAUAGCCUCCCGGUAACACCCAUAUGUGACCAUUAAAAUCCCCUACUACCACAAUCUUCUCAGAGCUAGGCACGCCUCUCACCACCUCGUCCAAAGCCUCCCAAAACCGCUUCUUCUCCUCUCUGUCCAAGCCCACUUGUGACGCAUAAACACUACACACGUUCAGCGUACACCCCCCUCCCCCAAUGACCGACUUAAUAGACAUCAACCUAUUAUUGAUCCUCUUCACCUCCACUACCUACUCUCUACGUUCUUCAUCUACUAAGGUGCCUACUCCAUUCCUACGCUUGUCGCUUCCCGAGUACCAAAGCUUGUAUCCAUCCACAUCCCUAGCCUUAGACCCUACCCACUUAGUCUCCUGGACACACGCAAUAUUAAUCCUCCUCUUUCUAAGAAUCUUCACAAGCUCUAUGGACUUACCCUGAAGGGUCCCUAUAUUCCACGACCCAAUCCUCAGCCUACCGUCGCUACCCGCACUCCCUCCACUACCCUCCCUCGCGGCCAAACCUUGGCCUCCCUCCCACUCCCGCCCUUUCCUCAUCCUCCGCCCCCACCACGGCCCCCAACCCCAACCCCUUCGGACAUGACCCUACCCUAUCAUCAACGCCCAAAGCCACUACUCAAAAAGAAAUACAAAGAACGAUAGAAACACGAACAAAAACAGAACACAAACAAGAACUACUAGCAGUAAAUAUAUAGCACACUGUCAGGUCCAAAUACAACAAAUCAAAAUAAAAUAAGAAUGCAAGACAAGUCACCAAUCCAAUUUAGCAGGCAAUCCUAACAAAUUAAAGCAAGUCAAGAUACGAAAAAUAAUACGCGAAAGUAAAUAGCAAAGGUCGGUCGCUUGUAACCGGAUCUGCGUGUCGACUUUGUCGCCGGAGUCGAAGUCUAGCCGACGGGGACCUUAACCCGCCGGCGAAAGCGGUGACGGGGAGAUUAGGCCAAAGAAGUAAUCAAGCAUAUAAAUUAAUUGGAGGCUAGUUAUGGAUGGUUUUAGGCGGGGUAGAGGUAGGCCAAAGAAGUAUUGGAGGGAGGUGAUUAGGCGUGACAUGGAGCAAUUACAGCUUACGGAGGACAUGAUCCUUGAUACGAAGGUGUGGAGGAACGUUUUGUUUGUAGCUGUGCUGUAGUUUCUUGUAGUCUCUUGUUCGUGGUGUUUUGGUGAUAUCUAUGUUUUUCAAAUAUGUAUUUUAUAGUAUUACCUUGUGGGUGUCUUGUUUCCUUUAUUAUCUAGCGGUGUGAUAUCUCAUACCCCACUUGGUGGGAAUACACUGGGUAUGUUGUUGUUGUUGUAGUGAUGAGAAAACUGAGCAGAAUAAAAAAAAAUAGAAUUAAAUAAUUUAUUUGUAUCAGUAAUUUCUGCAUUCCUUCUUUCCUCUGUUUUAUAUUCCUUAUGGGUGCGGUAUCUAUGUUAUGUCAUCUGCUCCUGUGCUGUACUAUGUGUUUGUGUGAUAUCUCGUGACUUGAGCCGGGGGUCUUUCGGAAACAGCCUUUCUACUUCAUCAGAGAUAGAGGUAUGGACUGCGUACAUCUUACCCCCCCAGACCCCACUAAGUGGGAAUACACUGGGUUUGUUGUUGUUGUAUCAGUAAUUUUAUUAAAUAGAAAUUGAAACUAGAAAUUUGUUUACACGAUUGAGAAUAAGAGAGGAUGAGAAAUUCAUAAGCAUAUACCCAUGCAGGUAAUACAAAAAUAUAAUUAUUAAAAAUGGAGGUACAUUUUAUAACAAAUUCCUAAAUAGUACUAUCUAUUUAUACUUUAAAUGAGUUUUUAAGUUGUAACUUAGAAAAUAUUUUGUCAACAACAAUCCAAACUCAAAAUUUCUAUAAACAUAAUAGAGAAUUUAAGAGAGGAAAUGGUUGGUUGAGCUAUAUAAAUAAUUUUGAAGACCUAAAAGACGAAUGAUCUUUUUGACUGCUAGAGAAGUAAUAGGUUUAGUUAGGGAUGUUCAUCAUGCUGAUUUUUCUAUAGAUACAAAGAAGCUCAUGCUACAAGGCAUUGGAAGGAGACACAACAUUGCUAUGCACUUGAAUUGGAAACUCGGCGUGUCUGGGACUAUGCAGGGGACAACUAUGUUCACCGUUUGAUUCAGUCUAAAACUGAUGGGAAGCUGGUUGAGCUCAACCACCAUUGUCAUCAUGAUAAUGAUGGCUGCUGCGGCUGCAAAUGCGGUGCAGAUCCUGAAUUCAGUGAAACUAUUUUAAACAGCAAAGUUGAAGCUGUACGCCUCUCUCGUCAUUUGUAUUUUUUUCUUGUUUACUCUUUUUUCAUCUAUUCAAAUGUUUAAGUUUUGGAUUGCUUUGGUCAUUCUGCUAUUUCAUUUGGAACCCUUGGUAAUCUUCAAAUUUUCUAACUGCAGAUUGUAAACGAGUACAAUGAGCUCCUAACUUCCCAACUGGAGGACCAAAAAAUGGUUAACCUUUUUACUAUAGUAUAAGUUUUCUUUAUUUUGCUGAUCUGAAUGUCACGGAAGCUUUCACGUCUGGUUACUCAUUUGAAUGUAGAAAUAUUGUUUAGUUGUUUAGAACGAUUCAUUCUAUUUACCGUACUAACGGUUUCUACUUUUGAUCAUAGUACUUUGAGUCCUUAUUGCAAGAGGUUGAGGAAGAAAUUGCAAGGGAAACUAAGGAAGCUGUUGAGAAAGCUCUAUGCCAGAAUCAAAGGUUAACGAAGUUAAAAGUUCGCUUGGACAAAUGCAUUGAAGAGAAGAAAUUUCAUGAUGAUGUGAGUUUUGUUGAAGGGAAUUAAUCAUUAUUCAUCUCUAAGCUGUUACCAGUUUAUCAUCAUUUAGUCCACAUUUCUUUUUUUUCUUACACCAUUUGAUUUUUGUUGAUUUUGUUUUGAACCUGAAUCUUUUGGUGUUGAAUUCUCUAGAUCAGUGACAAUCUUACGAAAAACAAGGAGAUAUGGGAAGCCAAGAUACUGGAAAUUGAAGAAAGGUAUUACCUUUCCUUUGUUGUCAAGAUUGGUUUGGUUUUCUAGCAAAGUUGAUGUACUCUAUGCGUUGUAGUUUCUUACGAGGAAAAGCUGGACUCUUCAUAGGGCAGAGCUUCUUCUUCUUCGUCGUCUUCUUCUUCUUUUUUUUUAGUUAUUAUUGCCGUAAACAGAGUCUCUUGCAAAAAUGCAUGGUAAAGGUUGCGUACAAUAGACCCUUGUGGUCCGGUCCUUUCUUGGGCCCUGCACAUAGAGGGAGCUUUAGUGCACCGGGCUGCCCUUAUUUUGUUGUUCAUGUAAUGGAUGAUCAAGUACUUCUGACCAACUUCACGUGCAUUCAUCCACAACUGCUAAAUUACUUCCCUAUCUUGUCAUGUAAUAUCCUAUUUUAUCUUUUAACAUCCAUCUUCUAGGGAGAAGAGGGCGCUAAAAAUGAAGGAUGAGAAGAUAUCCGAAUUGGAGGAAGAGGUAAAUUUGACAUUGCCUAUCAAUUGGAUUCAGUCAACUGGAGUUGCUUACUUUAGUUUCCUGAGUAAAUGUGAUUGCUAUUAUGUUUGGGCUGCAGAUUGCGACUUUGAUGGCAUCCAUCGAAACAUAAGAUGCAUUUAAAAGGGAUGCCAUAGUCAAAUGAUGAAAUGAAGGAUAAGAUCAGCUUCAAUAUCAGACAAUUCCAUUGGAUUGACAAGCCUACCUGUAUUUGAUGCCUCUGGAAAGAGCAGUGACAACGAGGCCUCGAAGUCAAGUGUCAGGAAAAGCAAUCGGGGUUCCUUGAAUAGAGUAUGAGUAAUAGGCGCUGUCCAGAAAACUCUUGUGCAACCACCUCAAUUAAAAGUGGUUACAGAUUUUUGACGGUGAUUUUAUUAACCUUCUUUUAGUCUUGAGUGUCAAUUUUCGGCCUGUUUGUUUCAAUGAGUAGCUGAUUUGAUACUUUAAACCUGUCCUCGUGCAUUGCUCGACACUCAGGAUUAAUUCUCUGCAGUUUCAACCUUUUUGGGGGAUGAGACUUGGGAAUCAGAUAGUUGUUAUUUAACUUGAAUUGGGAAGGGUGGUUGGGUAUCUUAACAGUGAUAAAUAUCUGCAAUGCGCAUGUGUUAACAGUAGAUGAAUCAGAAUGCUGCAAUGCGCAUAAUGACAAUGAGGUGGCAUGGCACAUCCCAGAAUAGUGCAAAGAAACUCCUGCGCGACUGGAGAAGGUGAAAAUUUACUUUGGGGGAAAAUAGUUGCAAAGAUUGAAGUUCAUACGCCUAUUAGUUUAAGGAUAUGUAAUGGUAAUAAAUAAUGAUUCUUGACAACUUUUUCCUCAAGAAAAAUAUCCUCCUCAGAUGUAAAAGCAGCAUCCCCCGAAAACUUGGCAAAUCAGUACUAACUUCUUGACACUUCUGGUGAUAGAACGCGUGAUGUAGACAACAACAAUUGGCCUUCUAUUCGGCCAUGGUUUCUCAGGUAAAAGAACAAUAAAUGAUGGAAAGAGCCACUCGCUGCACUUUUCUACUAGAAGAAUGUACAGAGAAAAGUUAUCUCCAUUCUUUAUGUGGGAGAUAACAUAACCAAUGGUAACACAAACUAGUAAAAAAAGCUUAAGAAUCGAUGAAGCUAAAAACUAAAAGCUCUAAAACAGAGCUCCAAACUAUCAGCAAGACUACCUAAAGAUUGGCUACCUUCCGAGUAAAUUUUGGAAAGAUAUAAAUAAAUCCCGAGGAUGCUGCUUGACUUGAAAAAAGCACCCUAUUGAUGUUGCAGUUGCUCAACUAAAAUUCUAUUGAUGAAGGGUGACAUAGCCGCUAACAAUGCCUUGGGACACUCCUCAUGAGGAAGAUGACCACAUCCUGAUAUUGCAACCAGUCUCUGUAUGUUAAAUAGACACAAAAGUUAAUAGCCUGAGACUAGUAGUAACUUUAUGCUUUUAUCAGAAGCAGGCUCAUAAAAUGUUGUCUCAAUUUUCAUACUCAGAUGGUAUAACUAGUAUUUUAUUCACUACACAUAUUGAAAGGGUAUUUCAACAGAAUAAAAGUGUCAUUCAGGACAUCAUUGCAACAAUUAGAAGCCAGUAAAGAAAAUCAAAACUGAUCAAUUUCUGCUAUCAGCUCAAUUAGCCAACAUCUUUGGCGAUUAUCACCACUUUGAUAACAUUUUUUCGGACUCGAUGGAUUUCCAGUUUAAUUUUCUGCUUUAUAAAUCAAUGUUCGGGGGUUGUAGUGGCUCAAUGGCAGAUGUAGUCCCAAUUUUCAUUAGUUUCUAUUGAAUCAAUUCCAUUCAACUUAGUCACAAACACAAUAACAUUUAAAAGUUUCAUGCUAAGAGGUGUGUUACAGAUGAGUAAAAUCAUAUAUGAAGCGAGAAAACUCAUACUAGGUGGUGUUUGAUUUAAGGUAAAAAUAGUAAAAUAACUGAUUAAGAUUUAAGGGUGCAAUCAGUUUCACUGAUCUAGAUCAAGUAAGCCAGCUUGUAUUAGAGUUAAAUAAUGACAUACAGUAGAGUGCAGAGAUGGAUAUAGAGAGAUUAAGAUAACUCACAGAAUUUACAUGGACAUAGAGAGAUUAAGAUAACUUACAGAAUUUACAAGUUUUGAAGCCAUAGCUUGAACAGACUUUAAAGGUACAACUGCAUCUUCAGCUCCCCCAAUCACCAAAACGGGUAAACAUUCAACUGCUUUUAGCAGUGCUGUUGCCUUUUCUGGGGAGAGGACUGUCUCGUAUGAUUGUUUCCCUAUCUCAUGGAGUGCUUCAUCCCAACCUUCCACACAUAAUGGUGCCUGAUUACAUACACAAGCAGAUAGGAUUAGGAUUGGAAUAUGUUACUUAUAAAAAGUGUAAAGAUGCCGAAAGAAGGGACGUGUAAACUAUUGGCAUCUUGUAUGCCCAGAAGUGGCAAGUACUUCCUUCUUGACGAUGAAAUUUAUUACACACAUACAUAAGGCAAUCCUGAAUUGUUAAGAGGCUGAUCUUCUAAAACUUUUCCACAAUGGUUUCAGCUCAUCCAUACCAAAAGUUGAGCCCUCAAUAUAUGCUAGUUUUUCUGAUCAUUUAUUGUUGAGUGGGGGUUAGGAGGAAAAAAGGAAAGGCGGUGAAGGGCAGAUAAUCACACAAAGUAGAAGCUCCUUGAGCAUGAAUAAGUAUAAUGAACUGAAUCAUCUAAUAAGUGUGCAGAGCCAAAAAAACAUCCAAGAAAAGAUAGAUGAAACUGUUAUCUGCCCUAUACCUCUUUUUGUCUUUCUUCCUAACUUCCACUGGAAACAAAAAUAUUUAGAAGUAGCACACCCGAAGAGUCCUAAUUGAGGAGGCUAUGAUAUCAUACACAGAAUACACAAAAUGUAGAUAUGAAAUUUAUAGGGAACACAUUUAGAUGUAUCUUGUCUAUCAGAUCAGACAAAAGACUAGCACACUCAACAUUUCAAGAAUAAGAACACAUACCUUGUAUAAGCUCAAAACCUCAGUUGUCAACUUCGUUGUGUCAUACCAUGCUCGUCUGUUAACAACUUGAGUAAUUUCUGUUCGCAAAAGAGGACGCACCAAGUGCUUUUUUCCAAGUGAUGUGCGCAAUAAUACUCUUGCAAAGGCAGGCACCAGUUCUCUUGACAGGCUAACACCCAAUAAUACAACCCCCUUGAUCUUAACCUAAUAUAGAAGGCAAAAGUAGUAAAAUAGUCAAAGCAAUGAGCAAUUUUCCAACCAUAGUAUAUCAGCUCUUGACAUUCAAAACUAAGGGUACACAAGAUUUCACGUCACUCUUCUUCAACAAGGAUGAGAAAUGUAUAAGAAUAAGCAAAAAAAGCGGGCUACUGACAUAUUUUCUCAAGAUUGAAUCAUAAUUUUCACCAGGAUACCAAUUCAUUCGGUGUUAAUAGCACUCAUGGCAACUAAAACAUGUUAAAUCCCACACCCCGAGCACUCACAUUAGUAAAAUUUGUGGAUGACUGGACUCUUUGUGCAGCCAUUAGUGCAAGCAAUCCACCAUCAUCAUGGCCAACAAGUACAACUGAAGUAAAACCCAUCUCUGAACAGAAGGACAGAAGCAGGUCAACCUGACAAGUGAAAAUUCAACUGUCAGAAAAGAAAAGCCUAGUCAUUUAAAAGGAAAACAAUAGCCUCUAUGAUCAUUACAAGUAUAUGUCCAAAUGAAAGACAACUAUAUACAAUUCCCUACGUGUAUUGUAUACAUGCAUAUGCAUUAAACACAUAUAUACAUAAACUCCUGGAAUUAGAACCUUGAACUCGCUGUUUAACAUAUGUGCUAAAAUUUAUAGACUCAUUCUUUUGGUUUCAUGCCGAAAAUGGUCCACUGAAACAUAAAAUUGAAGAGUGAGACAUUACCUGAGCAUCAAUAGUGUAGGGAUUGGGCAAAUGAUCCUCCUCCCAGUCUGUUCGGAAAGGCCUAGAUGUCAAUCCCCAUCCUGGCCUGUCAAAUGCAGUGACUACACAACCUACCUGUUGAGCUAGUACUCCCAUCACAUUUCUCCAAGAGAAGACUCCACCACCAAAACCAUGCACCAGAACAAUUCCAAACUGAUCAUUACCUUCCAGAUCUUGUAUAGGAUGAGGAGACCCGGACCUAUCCACUGCAUCUGCCUCACCAACUUCAUCUAGGUUGAGACUAGGCAUUUCUACAGACAAGAGGGGGGAAGUCUGAAACCCAUCUAAUAAAGGUGUGGAUAGACAGUUUGCAGGAUAUUGACUACUGUAGCUCCUCCGAAUACAAUAGUCCACGUUUGAUAAAAGAGUCGGUGGCCUGUCUACACGGGCGGUGGAGGAUAACGAACGACAAGGUGAUCCAGGCAAAGUAAGUUUGUAAUGAAGAGUAAGCCCUAAGCAAGUAAUAAAUAAACUGUCAACAUCAGCAAGCAGUUUGGCAGGGAUUUCUCCGUCCUCUCGAGCUGAUCCUGCAAGUUUCCUCUUCAUUUCACUAUCACAUUUUGAUGCUUUCCCAGCAGAAGGAGUUGGAGACCGUGGUACUUUAUUGUAUGCAGAGAAAACAACUUUACAGGGAAGAACCUGUCAUUUCCAAUAAAUCAAUUGUUACAAACUUUAAGGUUCCAUUAAAUUGCUUCUUCGGUCAAUGAGUAAAUCAAAAACCGACAGCAGUGAUUAUCUUCACAUGGUUAACAUUAUCCUGACCAAAUCACAAGUACUGAAUUAGAUAGAUAACAUUUAAUCAGAACUCAAUCAGUUGGAGAAGUAGUUAGAUUCUUUCAAAGAAUAUCCAAACCAGAACAGUAUAGUAGAUGUCAUUGACGAUUAAAUGUGUCCAAGAAGUUAAGGUAACUACAAGGGGAAAAACAUAACGACUUACAGCUUCGGGGUCAAUUCGGUGAAACAAGAGUUUCCUCCUAGCUCGACAACUUGUUCUAUAGGCAACAACAAUAUGUCCAACAGCAAAGACUAUAGAUGAUAUAAACAACACUGGCAUCCCCCAUGACUUGUUCAAAUGAAGCUUUUGCUUUGGGAUAUACGAUGAAGCUUCAGCCUCCAAGUAUGAAUUGCCAGAGAAAACACUAGCCUUUACGGAAAGAAGAAUAAUGGACAUAACAGAACAGAAUGUAGCAGUUCCGAGAUAUGGUCCAUGUGAAAGAGCAGGUCCAUCACACAUAGAAUAAACACCUAUGAUCAAAUACUAAUAUGGAUUAGUUCCAGAGACAACAUAGACAAGAAACACAACCAAUAUAAAGUAUUCCUAAGAACCAAUUCCAAUUGAAUCAUAACACCAACACAUUAGUAACUAUAAUACCUAAACACAAAAUCGAUUAAAGAAAAAAGAUUAAAUCUCCAGAGAAGAAGAAGGGCAAGUUUAGGCGAAAAUGACUUAACGUCGGAGCUGGUAUGCUCACUCAACUAACUGUAUUAUCUCAAAAUUCAACUUUCUUCUUGGUUCCAAGUUUUCUCAACAAAGAAAGCGACUUUCUGAUACAAAAAAUUAUUACUUGACUGACUAUGUGAGAAAUUAACUCUUUCAAGUUUCUUUUUUUUUUUUGUUGAUAAAAGUGUUGUGUCUGGAACAGCUUUCCCGCACCUCGACUAAUCCAACGGCAUACAUGCCACCUCUUACUAGCAAGAAAUACCAAGUAACUCUAUCCACCAAGGCUAGGAAGGCUAGGAUAGAUGGAAAGAAAUCACCGAUUGUUUUUGUUGCAAUUAAGAAACAUAUUUCAAUAUGUUGCAAUUGGAGUUCCAACUCGAUUUCCCAACGCAAAGUACAUAUCAAACUCCGACAUUUAUACCUAAAAUUCCAUCUCAAAGUGGAAAAACUACAAAUGAAGUACUAAAACAAGAAGAAGCAAACAUGAACUUUAUAGGAUGCUCGAAAUCAAGUAACAUGACCACUAACUCGAAAAAGAAACUGAAACUGGAGUAGUAAACAAGAACGUACAGGAGAUGAUAAGAGAUCUCAGGAUUGCAACAAGAGGAAUAUCCAUCAAGGAAGUUGUGAAUGCAUAGCUUUGCAAAUGCUCUUUCAAACUGUAACACCUUACGCACGUAAAGCUAGAAAUCAACACAGUCGGUAGCAACACAUCCCCUAUUGCCACCAUCACCGGCGCCGAUAACAUCAGUAGCGACAACAACAUCACUACCAUGAAAUAUAUAGUCCUUAAACAUCUCCUUACUUUCUCCACCACUCCCUUCCCCAUAACAAACUACAAAAAAAAAAACAGUUUUCCUCUUGCCUCGACAACUACAAUUCGGUUACAUUUGGUGAAUAAUAUGAGAUCGUAGACGCAAUGAAAUUGUAGCAACUGGAGGAGACGGCGGCUCAACGGCCAUCUGCCGGCGGCGAAUAAAAAACGGUAAAUAUGGUGCUAGGGUUUAAGUUGUUGAAAGCUCAAAAGAGAAAAUGGAAAGUGUAAGCGUUUAGUUAAGAGGUAAUGAGCAGAAAUAUAUUUAAACAGAAACAGCGGACUGGGGGUUGUCGCCGGAGUGUUUGUACUAUGGUUUUCUCGCUCUUGUAAUAAUUUAUUAGUAGAUGCCUGGAUGAUCAAUUUAUAAAAUAUUCUACAUAAAAAUAUUUUAUAUAAAUAUUUUAUGCAGUUAAUAAACAUUUUUUUUUAGUGAAUGCAGUUAAUAAAUUUGACAUAUUAUUACAGGUUAUCAAUUUUUUAUAGAAAAUUUAAAAAAAUAAUUUGAUAAGUAAAAUAUUUCAUAGUAUACUGUAAAAAACUUAAAUUUCAAUUUAUUGUGUUUUUUUAAGUUUUAUUUCUCUUAUUUUUAACAUUACCACCUUUUAGUUUAGGCAAAAGACAUAACUCCUCUGCUUUGUUUGUAGUAGUAUCUUCUUUAUUUUGGUCUAGACUUUUUAAUUCUAUCCAAUUCAAUAAUUUUAACAUAAAAUUUUAUAUUUAUCUUAUGAAAUUUAUUGUAUUUAAAAUUAAAUUUACGAUUUUUUAUGAGGAGUCAAACUCUUAUCAACAAAUUAAAGAUUAAAAUAAUCGAACAACUAAGUUAUUUGUACCUUUCACUAGGACAUACUUGUUAAAGUAGAUUAGAAUUAUGUUGCAACUAUAUAUAUGGCAUCUUAAUUGUUGAUGGACUAUAUAUGGAGUUCUUUGGAGGCUAGAAUCUACAUGAAAAUAGGUGUAUAUUAUUAUAAAAGUAAAUGGCAGAUAUGCAUAUAUCUUACGCUUCUCAAGUUUUACUAUAUAGGGGAUUCUUUGUUCUUAUUUCACUUUUUUUUAAUGAAUGGAAAGAUAAAAAUGUCAAAAAAAAUUCUUUUCUAUUCUAUUCGUCAUGUAUGAAAAUUAUUACAGUCUAUUCUAUUCGUCCAUGUAUGAAAGUUAUUAAAGACUUGAAGUAAAUAAGUUGAUACCUUGGUUAGAAAAACAAAAGGAGUAAAACGAAAGUUUUUCUUUUUCUUCCAACAAAAGAAGUUGAAAGUGCUGGAAUUCGUUAACACUGGCCCAUUUACCUGCCUGGCAGCUUUUCUCUUCUUUUUUUUUUUUUUUUUUUUCUUUUCUUUCUAUUGAAUAUAAUGGUUGCCAUUAUCUUUGCUCGUAUCUUUUUGUGAAUUCCAAAGUUUGCUCCUUUACAUUUUUCCAUUCACGUCCUUUUCUUUUUCCUUUUUCUCCCUUCUUUGGCCAGAACUUUUCAAUGAUUAGCAGUUUAGUACCAUACUUUGAAACACAAAAGUUAUUAAAUUCACAGAUCUUUUUAUACUUCCUGUGUCGCAUUUCAUGUGGCAUUUUUUUUUUUUUUUAUCUUGAUACGAUAUAUUUUUAAAAGAAGUGUGUGUUUUAAAACAACUUUUAGAUAUUUAUCUGUUUGUGAAUUAUUUGAUUAAGAAGAGAAUUUUAAAGUUAAAUUGUUUCUGACUACAGUAAGGUGACACUACUUUUUAAAUGAAUUAAAAAAAAAAAUGUGUCACAUAAAGUGAAGCGAAGGGAUUAGUUUCUAAUAAAUGAGGUUGUUAAAGUAUUUGGUGACAAUGAUAAUUGGGUACUUGUAACUUAUAAGUUGUCUGAAUUUUAAAGAUAUAUUUUAUACUACUUAUUAAUUUUAAAAUUCAAAAUGGAUAAAAUUAAGAUUAUUAAUUCACUAGUAGAAGCAAUCUAAUCCGAUUCUUACAACGAAUUUCAGCUAGUAAAGAACAAGCAUCUUGUUUGGUGAUGAAUUUAAUAAUCAAAUUUUGAAUUUUAAACUUUUUUAAUACUCCUAGUAUGCUAUACUAAGUGGCUUUUGUCUUUUAUGAGUUUGAAUAACGACAUUAAUUAUUAGAUGCUUCAAUUGUGUUUGGAAGACACACCAAUUAUUGUUUAAGAACGAUUAGUACAAAGAAUGUUUGUUAAUGCUUUUCAUUUGCCAGGCUUGCAUUGCAUGGAUAUAUAAUAAAGUCCAUAGUUAACAGAGUGUAAGAAGCUAAGAGGGAAGAUCUACUAGUGAGAAGAGGGAGGAUGGAACACUAAUGAGAAAAUAUAAUACUUAAUUAUCUGCAUUCAGUGAGUGACAGAUACAGUAUUUUGAAAUUUAUAUAUUCGUAUAACAAUUUCAGUAAAUAAUGUAGGUAUUUAGUAGAUUUCUUAAACAUUGAAAAGAGAAGUAUACAUUAAUCAAAUAACCAAAAAUAUGUAUUACUCCCUCCUUUCGUUCGAAUUUACUUAUUACUAUUUUUCUAAUUUGAUUUUCAUUUUUACUUAUUAUUUUUGACAAAUUAAAAAAGACAAAAAAAAUUCAUGUUAAACCCUUAGUAUUAAUUACUUAUUUUUCAAAUUAUCUUUCAAUAUGCCUAUUACUAAACAUCAAUUAAUAGAGGUAAUAAUAUGAUAAAGUCAUUAUAUCCAUCAUUAUUUUCUUAUGGUCAGAGGCGGACCUACGUAUAGAGUAGGGGGUGUACGUGCACCCGCUAGCCCCAAGAAAAACUCUGUAUAUGUAGGUUGUAUAUCUGUAUAUAUACCAAUUAAUUUAACUAAAUAUAUGUUGUGUACCCUCAAAGAUAGUUUGUGUUGGUGCAGUGGUUGAACUUGUAGCAUAAAAUUUUUUUUUGGGUGGAGGACUUUGGUUCGAAACCCACCCAACUACAAUUGUUUUAUUACUCCCUUUUCCAAGUACAAUUUGCUGCAGCAUUUGCAUUAUUGCUGCUGUCUUCCCAGACAACAUUGACACACACAAUAUUUAUGUAUUUUUAAUUUUAUUCCAAAAAUACAAGCUCUCCUCCAAUUUCAAAAGGCAAAUUCCCCCUAUCUUAUACUAUAUAAUGUUUAUUUUACUUUAAUUUUUUAAUCAUUGACUUAUUUUGUAUUUAAAAAUUAGCAAUUUAAAGUUUGAAAUAGGCUUAAAUGCAACGUUUUCUCGUAGCAACCAUUUAGCAAACAAAUCUCUCAGAUUUUCUAUUUUUCAAAAACUCUCUAUUAUUGUUGAAAAUAUAAAAGUGCAUCAAAUUUAAGUAUGGUGAAUAAUACUCUUUUGUCAUAUUAAACCAAAUUAAUGAUAUUUAAUAAUAUUAAGUUUUCAAAGAACUAUAUGUCAAAUUUUGGCACUAUCAAUUAUUAUGUUUAAAUAUAAAGGUGCAUCCGUCAAACUCAAAUCCUGGGUUCGCUUUUGCUUAUGGUUGUGCUAUUUCAAAAAACGACUAGUAAAAACAAACGAAAAGAGUAUUUAAUUGGCUACUUGAACUUUUAUCUCAGCGGUAAGAAUUCGAUUUUCCAUCUAAUUACCCCCUCUCUCGUUUUUCCUUCCCCAACAUUCAAUUUUAAAGAUGAAAAAGAAUUUACACUAAAAACUAGUAUUGUGUUUUGACCCUCAAAUUAUAUAUUCCUAAUUAUGUUAUCAUGAUAUGAGGAACACAUGUGAAUAAUAUGUAAUAUAGUUUAGAAGUGAGAUAGUAUUACCAACACGGGUUAUGGUGUAGUGGAUGAGGUUGCUCCAUUCUUAAUUAGAGGUUGAGGGUUCGACCCUAGUAUGGAGAAAACUCAGUUGAGAGCGCUACCCCCCAAAUGGGGGCCCUACCCGGCACAAAUUUGGAUUAAUCGGACUUCAAUGCGGGUACCGGACACCAGAAAAAAAAAAAAAAAAAAAAAAGAGAGAGAGAGAAAGAGAGUAUUAGGCGGCAAAUGAGUUGAAAUUCAGUGGUGUAGAACGUGAGACCGUUAGUUUCGCAGAAGAUGGGGGUCGCCUGGUCGGGACCCGAAAUAUAUAUUUGUUGCCUUUAUCUUUUUUUUUUUUUUUUUUUUUUUUUUUUUUUUUUUUUUUUUUUUUUUUUUUUUUUUUUUUUUUUUUUUUUUUUUUUUUUUUUUUUUUUUUUUUUUUUUUUUUUUUUUUUUUUUUUUUUUUUUUUUUUUUUUUUUUUUUUUUUUUUUUUUUUGUAGA
This 32635-nucleotide long non-coding RNA is filed under the name Capsicum annuum. RNAcentral describes it as "long non-coding RNA (CANN_LNC003932)". Lineage: Eukaryota; Viridiplantae; Streptophyta; Magnoliopsida; Solanales; Solanaceae. The record is from RNAcentral.